This is a long non-coding RNA of Marmota monax (woodchuck), 1742 nucleotides long. RefSeq lists it as uncharacterized. NCBI's taxonomy places the organism in Eukaryota, Metazoa, Chordata, Mammalia, Rodentia, Sciuridae. The transcript has 4 exons. The record is from RefSeq and is a predicted model, not a curated record.
ACUCAAUCACUAAACAACUUUCACAGAAUUCUUCCUUGCCCUAAGGUUAUGCUCAUUUUCUGAGUGUCUAGGUAAUUUGAUCGCUCUCCAAAAUAACACAGGGGAAUGGUAGAAGAUUCUACCUGUGUCUUAUAGUUUGGUUAUGAGCCGUUCCUCAAAAUCUCCAGUGUUAAUUCAGGAAUGUUGGGAGGUGAAUUUAUUGGAUUGUGACAGCUGGACCUAACCAGUCCACCCUGAUAGUUUGAGUGGACUAUCAGGGUGGUAACUAGGCAGGCAGGACAUGGCUGGAGAAGGUGGGUCACUGGGGGGUGUGCCCUGGAAGGGUGCCUUCUUGCAGUCCCUUUCCCUCUCUGCAUCCAGUGCUCCUCGACCACACCCUUUUGCCAUAAUAUUCUGCCUCACCUUGAGCCCAGAGCAAUGGGGUCAACCCACCAAGGACUAAACUUCUGAAAGUGAGACAAAAGGAACUUUCCUUCCUCUUAAUUGUUCUUGUGGAGCAUUUUGGUCACAGCAAUGAAAAGCUAACACACCAUGAUUGAAACUUUUUCAAACAUUUUGACAUUUAUUUGCUUUAUUCUCACUAUGAAAAGGAAUAUUCCCUACUUAAAAACAGAUCUCAACACUGAGGGGGUAGAUUUAUGGCCAUAUCAAGGACACACAGCUUGCUUUAGGACUCUGGGAGACUGAAUGUGAAGGGUUAUGAGGACAUUGGAGAAAGGCGUGACAAGAAAAGUGGUUACCACCUGUGUGCCAACGCCAUGUUCAAAGAGCUAGCAGGGUUUGAACUAUGAACCAGGAAUAUAUACUGUCUUUUUUUUUUUUAAGAGAGUUUUUUAAUAUUUAUUUUUCAGUUUUCAGUGGACACAACAUCUUUAUUUUAUUUUUAUGUGGUGCUGAGGAUCGAACCCAGUGCCGCACACAUUCCAGGCGAGCGCUUUACUGCUUGAGCCACAUCCCCAGCCCCAUCUUUUUUCUUUCUUUAAGGUCAGAUCUUGCUAUGUUGCUCAGGUUAGCCUCAGACUUCUGAGCUCAAGUAAUCUUUCUGCCUCAGCCUCCUGAGUACUGGGACUACAGGUGUGUGUCACCACAUCUUGAGUGAAGCGUCAUUAAGGCUUCUCCUAUGGUGCCAUCUGAGGAUGACAAGGGAUGACAUUUAUCCAAUAAUCAGGUGUGAGAGAUGGAAGAAACUUGGGCAGUGGUGCUGACAUGGACUUUGUGACAGAAGGAACACCAGCAGAAGGCAAAGAGAGCUAUGGGGAACAGGUAGUUACUGACUUAUGAUAGGAAUAUCUGAAUUUGAUCUUUAAAGGAGAUAAUGCCUUUUUUUUAAUUAAAAAUUCCAUCUCUCUCUAUUUAUCUUGUCAAGUAAAACUUAUAUAAAUUUAUGGUGUACAACAUGAUGUUUUGAUAUAUUGUGGAAUGGCUGAAUCAAGCUAUUUAAUAUAUUUCUUGCCUCAUGUACUUCUAAUUUUUUUGUGUGUGGAGAGAACAUGUAAAAUUUUCUUUCUUAGUGAUUUUCAAUACACAAUACAUUGGUAUUAAUGGUAGUCAUUAUGUUGUAUCCCUGAUAUACUCUUCCUGUCUAACUGAAAUUUUACGAGUUUGACUAAGGCCGCUCACCUCCCCCACUUUGAUCUCUGGCAACUCUCUGCUUACAUCAGUUUAGCUUUUUUGCACUCCACAUGUGAGAUCAUUUGAUAGUUGUCUUUCCAUUCCUGGCAUAUUUCACUUAACAUAGUAUC